GACGAACGCUGGCGGCGUGCUUAACACAUGCAAGUCGAACGGUAAGGCCCUUCGGGGUACACGAGUGGCGAACGGGUGAGUAACACGUGGGUGAUCUGCCCUGCACUUCGGGAUAAGCCUGGGAAACUGGGUCUAAUACCGGAUAGGACUACGGACUGCAUGGUCUGGGGUGGAAAGCUUUUGCGGUGUGGGAUGGGCCCGCGGCCUAUCAGCUGGUUGGUGGGGUGAUGGCCUACCAAGGCGACGACGGGUAGCCGGCCUGGAGAGGGUGACCGGCCACACUGGGACUGAGAUACGGCCCAGACUCCUACGGGAGGCAGCAGUGGGGAAUAUUGCACAAUGGGCGCAAGCCUGAUGCAGCGACGCCGCGUGAGGGAUGACGGCCUUCGGGUUGUAAACCUCUUUCAGCAUCGACGAAGCGAAAGUGACGGUAGGUGCAGAAGAAGGACCGGCCAACUACGUGCCAGCAGCCGCCGUAA
RNAcentral lists this ribosomal RNA (479 nucleotides) under uncultured bacterium. RNAcentral's name for it is "partial 16S ribosomal RNA". It matches the Rfam family "Bacterial small subunit ribosomal RNA", at positions 28 to 523 of the family's 1533-position model. The record is from RNAcentral.